This 17-nucleotide microRNA is filed under the name Corchorus capsularis. RNAcentral's name for it is "sRNA CCACVL1_08282". Lineage: Eukaryota; Viridiplantae; Streptophyta; Magnoliopsida; Malvales; Malvaceae. The record is from RNAcentral.
GGGAUAAGAAGAAAAAG